RNAcentral lists this ribosomal RNA (540 nucleotides) under uncultured bacterium. RNAcentral describes it as "bacterial SSU rRNA". It matches the Rfam family "Bacterial small subunit ribosomal RNA", at positions 355 to 896 of the family's 1533-position model. The record is from RNAcentral.
UGAGGAAUAUUGGUCAAUGGACGGAAGUCUGAACCAGCCAAGUAGCGUGCAGGAUGACGGCCCUAUGGGUUGUAAACUGCUUUUGUAUGGGGAUAAAGUUAGGGACGUGUCCCUAUUUGCAGGUACCAUACGAAUAAGGGCCGGCUAAUUCCGUGCCAGCAGCCGCGGUAAUACGGAAGGUCCAGGCGUUAUCCGGAUUUAUUGGGUUUAAAGGGAGCGUAGGCUGGAGAUUAAGUGUGUUGUGAAAUGUAGACGCUCAACGUCUGAAUUGCAGCGCAUACUGGUUUCCUUGAGUACGCAUAACGUUGGCGGAAUUCGUCGUGUAGCGGUGAAAUGCUUAGAUAUGACGAAGAACUCCGAUUGCGAAGGCAGCUGACGGGAGCGCAACUGACGCUUAAGCUCGAAGGUGCGGGUAUCAAACAGGAUUAGAUACCCUGGUAGUCCGCACAGUAAACGAUGGAUGCCCGCUGUUGGUACCUGGUAUCAGCGGCUAAGCGAAAGCAUUAAGCAUCCCACCUGGGGAGUACGCCGGCAACGGUG